UACAGAGGGUGCAAGCGUUGUUCUGAAUUAUUGGGCGUAAAGCGCGUGUAGGCGGCUUAGCAAGUCGGGCGUGAAAGCCCUCGGCUCAACCGAGGAAGUGCACACGAAACUGCUGAGCUUGAGUGCCGGAGAGGAUGGCGGAAUACCCCAAGUAGAGGUGAAAUUCGUAGAUAUGGGGUGGAACACCGGUGGCGAAGGCGGCCAUCUGGACGGUAACUGACGCUGAGACGCGAAAGCGUGGGUAGCAAACAGG
This 253-nucleotide ribosomal RNA is filed under the name uncultured bacterium. RNAcentral's name for it is "partial 16S ribosomal RNA". It matches the Rfam family "Bacterial small subunit ribosomal RNA", at positions 524 to 776 of the family's 1533-position model. The record is from RNAcentral.